GGGCCCGCACAAGCGGUGGAGCAUGUGGUUUAAUUCGAUGAUACGCGAGGAACCUUACCAGGGCUUAAAUGUAGUAUGACCGGCUUGGAAACAGGCCUUCUCUUCGGAGCAGAUUACAAGGUGCUGCAUGGUUGUCGUCAGCUCGUGCCGUGAGGUGUUAGGUUAAGUCCUGCAACGAGCGCAACCCCUAUUCUUAGUUGCCAGCGGUUCGGCCGGGGACUCUAAGAAGACUGCCAGCGCAAGCUGAGAGGAAGGUGGGGAUGACGUCAAGUCCUCAUGGCCCUUACGGGUUGGGCUACACACGUGCUACAAUGGCCGGUACAGAGAGCAGCCACUACGCGAGUAGGAG
This 349-nucleotide ribosomal RNA is filed under the name uncultured bacterium. Its description in RNAcentral is "bacterial SSU rRNA". It matches the Rfam family "Bacterial small subunit ribosomal RNA", at positions 917 to 1267 of the family's 1533-position model. The record is from RNAcentral.